Molecule: ribosomal RNA, 459 nt
Filed under: uncultured Streptococcus sp.
Lineage: Bacteria; Bacillati; Bacillota; Bacilli; Lactobacillales; Streptococcaceae
Description: bacterial SSU rRNA
Rfam family: Bacterial small subunit ribosomal RNA
Source: RNAcentral
ACGGAAGGCAGCAGUAGGGAAUCUUCGGCAAUGGGGGCAACCCUGACCGAGCAACGCCGCGUGAGUGAAGAAGGUUUUCGGAUCGUAAAGCUCUGUGGUAAGAGAAGAACGGGUGGGAGAGUGAAAAGUUCACACAGUGACGGUAACUUACCAGAAAGGGACGGCUAACUACGUGCCAGCAGCCGCGGUAAUACGUAGGUCCCGAGCGUUGUCCGGAUUUAUUGGGCGUAAAGCGAGCGCAGGCGGCUUAAUAAGUCCGAAGUAAAAGGCCGUGGCUUAACCACUGUUUGCUUUGGAAACUGUUAGACUUGAGUGCAGAAGGGGAGAGUGGAAUUCCAUGUGUAGCGGUGAAAUGCGUAGAUAUAUGGAGGAACACCGGUGGCGAAAGCGGCUCUCUGGUCUGUAACUGACGCUGAGGCUCGAAAGCGUGGGGAGCAAACAGGAUUAGAUACCCUGGUA